Molecule: long non-coding RNA, 481 nt
Organism: Trichomycterus rosablanca
Lineage: Eukaryota; Metazoa; Chordata; Actinopteri; Siluriformes; Trichomycteridae
Exons: 3
Source: RefSeq, a predicted model, not a curated record
CUCUUUUCUUUUGACUUUGUGCUUAUAAAUGUUAACAGCUUAACAAAGACACAUGUAUUCAAUCACUAUUAAAAAUGUACAAAUUUAUUGACCCAGCAAAGACAACUAUGUGGUGUGAGUUAGCCGCUUGGUGCUGAUACGCUAUGAUGGUAUCGUUGUGAGAAAGUAAAGCACCAGAAACAAAAAAUCGGACCGCUUUAAACAACUGAAUUUAUCUACAACCCUACUGCUUACAAAAUUAUAAACAUUAAGAUCUAGAGACAAUGUGAGCAACUGGACAAGUUACCUCAGCAAAGAUCCACAUGAUGGCGUAGAAACACCACAAAUAUUCUGAAAACGCAGUAAAAGCUGGAGAAGCAGACGCAAAAUGAGAGAAAACCAUACAGAGACAAACUCACCUAGGAUACCAGGGAUCAUGCUGCUUAUUUUGCACAAAGAGUACUUAGUGUUUGUCUGUGUCUAUUACAAAUAAGUACAAAUA